CAGUAGCCGCGGGAAUACGAAGGGGGCUAGCGUUGUUCGGAAUUACUGGGCGUAAAGCGCGUGUAGGCGGGUCCUUAAGUCAGGGGUGAAAUGCCAAGGCUCAACCUUGGAACUGCCUUUGAUACUGGGGAUCUUGAGUCCGGGAGAGGUGAGUGGAACUGCGAGCGUAGAGGUGAAAUUCGUAGAUAUUCGCAAGAACACCAGUGGCGAAGGCGGCUUACUGGUCCACAACUGACGCUGAGGUGCGAAAGCGUGGGGAGCAAACAGGAUUAGAUACCCCGGUAGUCCCUGUCUCUUAUAC
RNAcentral lists this ribosomal RNA (301 nucleotides) under uncultured bacterium. RNAcentral describes it as "partial 16S ribosomal RNA". It matches the Rfam family "Bacterial small subunit ribosomal RNA", at positions 509 to 807 of the family's 1533-position model. The record is from RNAcentral.